GCCUGCUAGCCGCAGUAUUUUGACUGUGCAAAGGUAGCAUAAUCACUUGUCUUUUAAAUGAAGGCUAGAAUGAAUGGCUUCACGAGAAAAUUUCUGUCUUUGAAUUUCAUUUUAAUGUGCAAAAGCAUUUUUUAUCUUAAAAGACGAUCAGACCCUAUGGAGCUUCUUCGUUGGGGCGACGAAAAUUGAUCCUAUCAGAUAGAUUAAAAGACUAAGUUACCCUAGGGAUAACAGCGUAAUUUAUAUAGAGAGCUCAAAUCGAUAUAUGAGUUUGCGACCUCGAUGUUGGAUCAAAGUUCCUUUAAGGUGUAGCAGCUUUAAAAGGGGGUCUGUUCGACCUUUAAAUCUUU
Molecule: ribosomal RNA, 350 nt
Filed under: Alonella exigua
Lineage: Eukaryota; Metazoa; Arthropoda; Branchiopoda; Diplostraca; Chydoridae
Description: partial 16S ribosomal RNA
Rfam family: Bacterial large subunit ribosomal RNA
Source: RNAcentral